RNAcentral lists this unclassified non-coding RNA (254 nucleotides) under Bombus terrestris (buff-tailed bumblebee). RNAcentral describes it as "misc RNA ENSBTSG00005036624.1". Lineage: Eukaryota; Metazoa; Arthropoda; Insecta; Hymenoptera; Apidae. The record is from RNAcentral.
UUUCUCCAUCGGUUUUCACUUGAAAGCAUACUUUGCAGAUGUUAUGUACAGAUAUCGGAACCAUCGAAAAGGUUUUAAUUAUCCCAUAAAGUAUUCAGAUAUCAUACCGGCUAAUAGAUUCCAUAGAUUUUCUCCUGCUCUUUGAAGAUACCCGCGUAGGAUCGUUUGUAGCGGAGCGUCACGCCGUCAAGCAAGGAUCGAUUAGCGGCAGAGCUAUACGAGAUCUUUUGCUGAAAGAUUUAUCAGAUGACUCG